Molecule: non-coding RNA, 483 nt
Organism: Chroicocephalus ridibundus (black-headed gull)
Lineage: Eukaryota; Metazoa; Chordata; Aves; Charadriiformes; Laridae
Source: the annotation of a RefSeq genome assembly
AUGCGGUGGUGCCGAGGCACAGGGCUGGCAGGGCUGGCCGCGCUGCUGCUGGUGGCUGUGGGAAGAGCCCAGGUGCUGCAGGAGCCGUCAGCAGAGACCACCGAGGGCAUCGGCAUCAACAUCACUUGCUCACACCCCAACAUAAAGCCUUACGACUCCAUCCACUGGUACCGUCAGCUCCCGGGACGAGGCCCCGCACUGCUCCUGAGCACUCUCAAAGACUCCAAAGAGCUGCGGGACCCGCCGGGGCGGCUGUGGGUGUCGGCAGAGCGCCGCUCCAGCGCCCUGUGGCUCGCCCGGCCCCGGCGCGGGGACGCGGCGGUGUAUUACUGCGCACCAUAUCUCUAUGGUACUGCUUUGAAUCAGGUGUCCUAUUUCUCUUUUUCUGAUGCAGAAACAUCCCUGAGUUUAUGUGAUGAUCCUCUCUUCUCACACUUCUGGAGGGUGCCAUCCCUAGAGAAAGUGGCUGAUUGUGAUACCUGA